RNAcentral lists this ribosomal RNA (309 nucleotides) under uncultured bacterium. RNAcentral's name for it is "partial 16S ribosomal RNA". It matches the Rfam family "Bacterial small subunit ribosomal RNA", at positions 504 to 807 of the family's 1533-position model. The record is from RNAcentral.
AGAGACAGCAGUAGCCACGGUAAUACAGAGGGUGCGAGCGUUAAUCGGAUUUACUGGGCGUAAAGCGUGCGUAGGCGGCUUCUUAAGUCGGAUGUGAAAUCCCUGAGCUUAACUUAGGAAUUGCAUUCGAUACUGGGAAGCUAGAGUAUGGGAGAGGAUGGUAGAAUUCCAGGUGUAGCGGUGAAAUGCGUAGAGAUCUGGAGGAAUACCGAUGGCGAAGGCAGCCAUCUGGCCUAAUACUGACGCUGAGGUACGAAAGCAUGGGGAGCAAACAGGAUUAGAUACCCGAGUAGUCCCUGUCUCUUAUAC